Harpia harpyja (harpy eagle) is the source of this 4480-nucleotide long non-coding RNA. RefSeq lists it as uncharacterized. NCBI's taxonomy places the organism in Eukaryota, Metazoa, Chordata, Aves, Accipitriformes, Accipitridae. The record is from RefSeq and is a predicted model, not a curated record. The transcript is spliced from 9 exons.
CUCCUCCGCCUGAGGCGCUGGGGCCCGCCUGCCCCGGGCCGGUGCUCCCCCCGCCGCGCCUGCGCGGGUUCCUCCGGUGGGAGAGCCGCCCCGGGAGCCUGCGGCCGGGCGUGGGGAGCCGGGGGUGGCCGGGGCCGCAGAAGCCCGCCGUGACGGUGCCCGCGGAGCCGCUGCGCCGGGGCCGCGCUGCGGGCUGGAGCGGGGGGGCCCGUCCUCGUCCCGCCGCUGCUGGGGAUCCGAGGGAGCGCGGGAGCCGAGCCGCAGCCUUCUGCGUGGGAUGGGAGCUGGGCCGAAGGUGAAAGGCGGGUUACAAAACCUGCUGCGGCUUGGCUGUUUGGGCAUGAACUCCUAACUGCCCCCGAAACACCUGCCCGGGCAGAUUUCUUACGUUUGUGUCAUAGGCGUGUUGCGCAUCUGUCGCUGAUGUCUCCUGUAGGACUAGGGGCGGUUGGAUCCCUCCAAGGAAUUUGCGCUUGGAGAACAAAAGAAAGCAGUUUUCUUCAGAAACGUCGUUUGCAAACAAACGCAGGCUUUAGGUGCACCUUAGGACAACGUGUAUGUGCUACGUUAUCUGGGCUUUUUAUAAGAACUUGCAGUUGUCUUACAAGCACGUGAGUUCUACAACAAAAGAAGCAAGUCACUCGUUUUUAAAACUGGAAGGAAUAUGUUGAGGUGCAGCCGGUGGUAUUAGUGCCGCGUUUGGACACGCUGCUCGGCUGGCGUUGGUGCUCAUAGCUCCCCGUAGCAUUGGGGUCCUGGGACAUUGCUUCCAAUGUCGGUUGGUGCAGAUCCUGGUAUUGCUGCAGCUUUCGCCUCUGGCUGUGGCACGGCUGGAGGAGAGUGCCUGUCCUAACAGCACACAGCCCAACGCUGGCACAGCCGCGGGUGGGAACCACUCAAGUUGUGCCAUGCUCUUGCUAUAAACUCAUCAGUCCCUAGGAGUUUUUGCAUUUUUUUCUUUGUGUUUAAAGCAGAAAUUGUUUUUCGGGAGAACUGUCAACAAUAUAGUGUAGCGACUCAACAGAAAAACCACUUCAUAGGGACAACUCUUGGUAGCUCGUGUCGCCUUGUGCAGCUAACCUCUCCCAGGCAGUGCUGAGUGCAGCUGAGAGGGGCUGUUGGGCACACGCUGUUUGCUGCAGCCCGGCUGGGCAGUGGGAGAGCUCCCCGUGGCAGGGAGGUCUGCCGGCUGCGGCUCCUUGGCUGCUGCCGGCCCCUGGGCAGAGUUUUCUCUGGGUACGUUUCAUCGUCCAUUUCAAAGUCAGGUUGCUUUGUUGGUGGUCAGGAGUUUUGUUAAGAAAACGAGGCUGGCCUCAGUAACUUUUUUCUGAAUAUUUAGAGGAACUUUCACACAUUUACUGAUGUGCUGCCACUUCCCUUGGCAAGGUACUGGUGCCCUGCAAGCCCCUCCUGCCUCUGGCACUUGGACAUCAUGCUUGGGAAGUCGUACCAGCUGCGUUGUGCCCAGCUGCAUAGGGAAGAAAACCUGAAACGCUUUGUCACUGCUGGAAUGAAUGUCACCUGUUCAUUUAUUGAUCUGAAGAGGAAACACAUCGCUUCUUGGCAGUACCAGCUGAGCACCAGCAUGAAGUGGUGACCGAAGCACGACUGCAUCAUCACCCAGUCAACAGCCCCUGGAAGGUUAAUGUCUGUGGCAAGAAAAACGAUGUCUUCUCCCUGAAGGGUGGUAAUGCUUUUGUGGGCGUGCAUGAGCUUUUUUUAAACACUGGAACAGUUUCAACACUGCAAUUGUGAGAAGUGGAAAGGGAGAGGAUGAUUUUUCACCAAGCAUAAAGCUAGCACACAAGGUGCUACAGUGGAACAAGGCGUCCUCCUGCCAAAGGCAGAAGCCCCAUCACGGCAAACACGCCCGUCUGCCAUGUCUGCUGCCCUGCCGCGCAAUGCAGCGACCCAGGACCAGGACCAUCUGGAGACUCAGAAACAUGGCAGUAUCUCCAGUUAGAGAUGGCUGUGUUCAAGGAUCUCAGAAGACUCUCUUCAUGCGAGGUAUCUGUCCUAGCUUCCACGAUGCAGAGCAUUACCACUCCUAGGAAAGCUGCGAAGAGUCUGUAGGCUUUUUCCUCCUUCUCCCACGCUUUGUUUACCCCCAAAGCAUGGGGAUGAGCAGGCAGGAGUCCUGCCUGGCAGUUCAGCUGCUGGACAGACUGGCAUCCUGCGGGCAGCAGAGCUGCACCUCAGUACAAUGAAGGGCUGCGAGGACUCUGGUCCGGGGAGCCGCUCCAGCCUGGAUGCAUCCGUUUCAUUAAGGACAAGCAGGGAAAACUAGCUGCCACAGACGAGACCGACAAGAGACUUCAGAAAACGAGAACUAGGCCAGCGUUUCAGUGAAAAACCCGCGCUGGCUGUUUGUAUUCCCUUGGGCUCAGACUGGGUCACAGCUGGGCGUGUGGCUGGCUGCACUUGUUGCUGUGUUCAGCAGAGAGGACCUGUGUCCCACCACUGCGCUCCAUCUGUUACUGCCACCGUGAGGUUGACUCCCGUUCAAGGGCAAGUGGUAAAACAGCCCCACACUAUGAAAAGCUCCGCAAGACAGCGAUCCCAUCCCGUGACCCAGCCAGCCCCCUGAGGCAGACGGGGCUUUCACCACCGACCACACCGUGCUGCAAGAAUUGACACAGACGAUUCCCUCUGGAGGUGCCGUUACUCCCUGCGCAUCCUUAGCGAUGCUCCUGCGGGCCGGCCGGGGAAAGCUGCUGCUAGGGACUGGCUUUUCCAGGCAGAGGUGGCGAGUGCCUGCUCGCAGCUCUCACCGGAAAGCUCGCCACGUGCCGCUGGAGCCCGGCGGGGCCCGCUCCGGCUGCAUCGGUCCCACUGCCAGCCCGACCACAGUUCUCCAUGGACAGCUCUAUAUUUUAAAACUUUCUUCUCACAUUCCACAUCAGCGAUGGCUCCAGCAGUUCCUGUAUCUGUCCCUCCAUCACUUCAGCCUGUGGUUUUAAAGUGCUUUUGAUAUUACAGAGGUAUGAGGAUCAAGGGGCUCCAGGAAGAUAUAAAAAGGGCCUACUCAGCAUUGCCUGCGUGUAUGUAUCUAUCUGCCAUCCUGGUGAAUGUCUAUUAGGAAGGAUGUGCACUUUAGAGCAGUUCAUCUAGUUCUUUUAAAUAGAAAACUCACUUUAAAAAAAAAGAGAUUUAAAUGUUUAAUCUGAAUAUGUGAAAUAGUGCUGAGAGAGAACAGACUUGAAAAAAGAAUAAUUCAGAUGUAAUUACUGACCUGACAGCUUACCAGCCCCUGCCCUUCCAAAGGAGGGCUGCAGAGAACUAACAAGAGGGACAUGAACAGAACUUCUGCUACCUCCAUAAAACCCUUUUUUAAGACUGAGCAUCAGCAUAGGUUAAAAUAACUAGGGGGGGAGGGGGGGGGGGAAGUCUAUCCUUUGUAUCUACUGAUUAUGCCAAAUACUAGGACAAAAUUUAGAGCCGGAUUUUCAGUGAAUUAGAAAGAAUCAUUAGAAGUUUUGCUUUUAAAGGCUGGUGGCGCUCCUAUCAUCUUAUUUUACUUUAGAAACCUGCGGAACCAUGAAACAGGCUCAUGGAGGCCAGCAAGUGCCUCCUUUUACUGUUCAGUGUUUAUGACAGUGAAGAAAGAAAGGGAGGAAGGGGACUUGGACCAGCAGAGAAUGAAGCUGCAGAGCUACAGCUUUGCUGUCUGCAGUGGGUCUGGACAAGUCCCACAUGCUGGUGUGGGAGGAGACGCCUCGGGUGUCUUCAGCGUGGGCAUUAUUGUACGUGCCAAAUCAUCACCUUCUACAAACUGCCAAGUGAACCUGCUAUUGCUUAUGUUGGAUGAACCUUAGAAAGCGCCUUAAAGUCUUCUCGUGAGCUGCAAUGUUUCGCUAUCGAACUAGCAACGAAGGCGAGACAUAAACCCAUCGGGAAAUUCUGCAUCGGUCUGCUCUCCCCUCCUCAGUCCGCUCGGCGUGCAAAUCUGAGGCCAGCGCAGAGGCGGCCAAACAUGACACUGUACCUACCCCAGCUGGUUCACGGGGUUUUGGAAGUGAAAGACCACGAAGGUAGAGGAUUCUUUGCCGUUAAAAGAAACAACCGCAAAACAAAAAAACCAACCCGCCACGCUUCGAGGCCGCAUUUAUACCGAAACACCCAAAUGAGGGAAGAGCACGGCCGAGGCCACCUUCUCCAUGGCCAGGUUCCUGAUGCUGGGGGUGAGGGAGCCCCGGCAAGUGGGGCAGAGGCUCAGCUUCUGCCUGCAUUGAUUGCAGACCAGAUGCCCGGCCUGACACUGGAGGAUGGGCGGCAGCACAUAGUCGAAGCAGACGGGGCACUCGAAGAGCGAGCUUCAGAGCCCACCGCCCAUCGCGACCAGGUCCACGCAGGAGAGGGACCUUGAGGCACUCAAGAGACACCUUGAUUUCUCUAACAUCUCUGCCUGGCACGGAGGAAGGCAAAUUCCCACUCUCUUUCCUUUUUCUGCCAGCUGUCGUGGGAAGCAGAAGAACCUGCA